This 989-nucleotide long non-coding RNA is filed under the name Homo sapiens (human). Its description in RNAcentral is "HSALNT0022066". Lineage: Eukaryota; Metazoa; Chordata; Mammalia; Primates; Hominidae. The record is from RNAcentral.
AGGGCAGACUAAAACAUCCCGAGGUACUCAUCUUCCCUGACUAGCCUGUUUAAGCAAUUCUAAGUUGCAACUUGAUUUCCCCUUUUUACCCUGUAAUUCUGAAACUGUAAUGUGAUAUGGUAAAUGAGCUCCCUCUAAGGAUCUGAACUGUAGAAGGAAGGAAGGAAGGAAGGAAGGAAGGAAGGAAGGAAGGAAGGAAGGAAGGAAGGAAGGGAUGGAAGAGGGAGGGAGGGAAGGAGGGAGGCAGGAAGCAAAAGAAGAAAAAAGAGAACAGAAGAAAGGAAGGGAAAGAAAGAGAAAGAAGAAAGAGGAAGGAAGGCAGGAAAGGAGAAAGAAAAGGAAAGAGAAGGAAAAAAGAAAAAGAGGGAGGGAGGAAGGAAAGAAAGAAUAAAGAAGCAAGGAAAAAAGGAAAGAAGGAAGGAAGGAAGAGAAAGGAAGAAAUUUAUGGCAAGUGUUUUUUGUUUUUUUUUUUUUUUUGCAGUGGCAUGAUCUCAUCUCACUGCAACCUUCACCUACUGAGUUCAAGCGAUUCUCCUGCCUCAGCCUCCCAAGUAGCUUGGAUUACAGGCAUGCACCACGAUGUCUGGCUAACUUUUUAUAUUUUUAGUAGCGAUAGGGUCUCACCAUGUUGGCCAGUCUGGUCUCCGACUCCUGACCUCAGGUGAUCUGCCUACUUCGGCUUCCCAAAGUGCUGGGAUUACGGAUGUAAGCCACUGUGCCCAGCCACAAGUGGUCUUUUAUAACAUAUAUUGUGGUUUCUACCAUGAAGCCUGGUUUGGAAUUGUAGGAACAAUGAAAUCUGACUUUUAGGAACAUUUUUCCUAAUCCCCAAGUGUGCACCAGCUGGAGAAUUCCCUUCCAUACAGUCCUCACUGAGAAAGCUGAUGAUGCUUCCGACACCUGUCUCCUAUUAGGGGCAAUCCCUCUGCCAUGUGCUCUACCAGGCAGUAUCCCUCCUCCACUGUGGAAUUUUCCAGGUCUUAAAUAAC